This is a long non-coding RNA of Lacerta agilis (Sand lizard), 216 nucleotides long. RefSeq lists it as uncharacterized. The record is from RefSeq and is a predicted model, not a curated record. The transcript has 3 exons. Lineage: Eukaryota; Metazoa; Chordata; Lepidosauria; Squamata; Lacertidae.
AGAUUUGAAGAAUAAUGAGAUCAUUUCCCUGCUGGACUAUCAGUUCAUUGCCUAUGAGCAACUGGAGUUACUCUUCCUACAAGAUAACAGGAUCCAGUCAAUAUCCGCCUCUGCAUUUGCUGGACUUGUCAAGCUCAAGAAGCUGUAUCUCAGUUCCAACAACAUCACUCACCUGAAGCCUCGCAUCUUCCACAACUUGUUUUGUCUCAAAUGGCU